AUGAAGCUUCCCGGAGGCGCGACGCGCGCUUGGCUGAUCGAUUUCCUGCGCCGUCUGUUCUCUGCCCUGCGCCAGAGAGCGUUCUGGGCGGUGACGGCGGGGGGAAACAAAGAAGCCAAGAAACGGCGGCGCCGACGACGCAACCGCGCCGCCGCCGAAGCAGUCCUCAUCCACCCCGAGCCUAUCGCCACAGAGGACCUAAUGACGCCACUCGGCACCCUCGCAGCCACCGACGUGGCGCUCCUCCCUCCCGCGCCUCUCGCCGCCGAGGCCGAGGGCCUCACGCCGACACGCGGCGCCCUCUCCCCCACCAGCACCAUCGUGCUCGACGGGGCGCCGCUCUCGUCCGAGGACCCUACCCCACCGGACGGCUUCCUCCGGGCCACCAGUGACGCCACCCUCCACUCGGCGGCUGCCGUCCCCACGGGCCCCGCGUCGUCGGUCCCAGCCACCGGCGGGAAGCUGGAAGAUGACGGUGGAUUUACCCUAGUCGUGGGCAGGAAGAGGAAGCGGGGGAAUGCCCAGGCCACCCUCGGCCCUGUUGCCCCGCCACCUGCUCCGCGCCAUGGUCCGCCGAGGGGCUGGUUUCGGCACCAUGCUCGCCCCGCUCCUCCUCCUCCGAGCCGCCGUAUUCCGCCCGCAAUCCGGGUGAGCCCUCCUGCCACGGCCAGCGGGCCAGCCUCGUCUCCUGCACCUGCUGCCACGGCCAGCGGCCCUGCUGCGUCCCCUUCUUCCAUCAUCCCUCAGGAACUGGACGACAUGGCAAAGGAGCGAUCCCUUCACUUACAGUUCCGGGAGGAGAUGUCAAAGCUGAAAGGCAACAAGUUAUAUUGUCUGAUAUGUUAUUUGGAGCGUCGCCAAAAACUAGUGACUAUGCAGAAUCAUAAGGCUGACAUCAACCAUCACAAUAGUGCAUCUCACAAGGGGCGUCUUGUGGAUUGUCCAAGUAAGGGCUGCCUUUUGGUGGCAAGUAACAGACACGACAUUGGCAUUCAUGCCAUUUGUUGCCACCCUCACACACUGGCGGCGCUGAGGGUAUUCAUGUGUAUUCGUAUGAAUCCCAUUAUUGAGUGCAAAAAAAAAAUCAAUACAUAG
Molecule: ribosomal RNA, 1095 nt
Filed under: Triticum aestivum (bread wheat)
Lineage: Eukaryota; Viridiplantae; Streptophyta; Magnoliopsida; Poales; Poaceae
Description: partial small subunit ribosomal RNA
Source: RNAcentral